This 279-nucleotide ribosomal RNA is filed under the name uncultured bacterium. RNAcentral describes it as "partial 16S ribosomal RNA". It matches the Rfam family "Bacterial small subunit ribosomal RNA", at positions 506 to 784 of the family's 1533-position model. The record is from RNAcentral.
UGCCAGCCGCCGCGGUAAUACGGAGGGUCCGAGCGUUAUCCGGAAUUAUUGGGUUUAAAGGGUCCGUAGGCGGGCAGCUAAGUCAGAGGUGAAAGUUUGCAGCUCAACUGUAAAAUUGCCUUUGAUACUGGUUGUCUUGAGUUAUAGUGAAGUUGCCGGAAUAUGUAGUGUAGCGGUGAAAUGCAUAGAUAUUACAUAGAACACCGAUUGCGAAGGCAGGUGACUAACUGUAUACUGACGCUGAUGGACGAAAGCGUGGGGAGCGAACAGGAUUAGAUA